This is a non-coding RNA of Seriola dumerili (greater amberjack), 594 nucleotides long. The record is from the annotation of a RefSeq genome assembly. Lineage: Eukaryota; Metazoa; Chordata; Actinopteri; Carangiformes; Carangidae.
CAGAGUGAUCCAAGUCCCUGUUGGAGUCAGUCAGAGCAUUUCCAUAGAGAGCCACUUUGCAUCAGCAGCACCAUGCUCCAGUGCUCUGGGAGAGUUUAUAGUCCUGAGAGUUGAAGACUGGAUGACUGACAGCUGUCCUUCAUGACAACAGAAGACACAGAAAUCCUCCUCAUCAGAAACAUGACUUUGGUCUCCGUCCUCAUCUGGACUCUCCUCUGCUGCUGCUUCACAGAGUCCAGAGGACAGGUCACAGUGACUCAGUCUGGAGCAGUGAGCUCUGCUCUGGGAGCCUCCGUCACCAUCAACUGUGGGAUCAGUCGUCAGGUUGACGUAGAUUGUGGCCCGUCUUCAUCACAAUACCCCUGUCUAUUCUGGUACCAACAAGAGGAUGGAAAACGUCCUAAACUGCUUUUGUAUGGGGUUAAUCAACGAGCAUCUGGAAUUCCAGGUCGAUUUACAGGCAGUGGAUCAACGACUGACUUCACUCUGACCAUCAGUAGAGUCCAGGCUGAAGAUUCAGGAGUUUACUACUGUCAGAGUUAUCACUGGUUGAACAGUCAGAAUGUGUUCACACAGUGAAAAAGCGUCGUACAA